This 1635-nucleotide long non-coding RNA is filed under the name Homo sapiens (human). RNAcentral's name for it is "HSALNT0128249". Lineage: Eukaryota; Metazoa; Chordata; Mammalia; Primates; Hominidae. The record is from RNAcentral.
CACGCUGGGAGCUGUAGACGGGAGCUGUUACUAUUCGGCCAUCUUGGCUCCUCCGCCCUAAAAUCCUCUUUUCAUUCCUAGUCAUUCUCUGUAAAGUGUGCUCUUGUGCUGGGCCCAAACUCAAAAGCUUCUGGACACCAUGCAGGUAUCAUAAAUGUAUGAUAAAGUCAGUGACGAAGUCUUGCUCUGUUGCCCAGGCUGCCGUGCUGUGGCAUGAUCUCGUGCUCACUGCAACCUCUAGGGCUCAAACGAUUCUCCUGCCUCAGCCUCCCGGUAGCUGAGAUUACAGGCAUCCGCCACAACGCCCAGCUAAUGGUCUGCUCAAUUGGAAGAAAGUAGUAGUCUCACAAGGUUCUUAUCUUGCCUUCCAUUGUAUUAUACUCUUCUGGUUUUCCUCCUUCUCUUGUGCACUUAAUUUUUGAGUGGUAGUGUGUGCAAAGACUGGUUAUGAUGCACAAUCAGCCAGCAUAUACAAUUUGGGAUUCAAUGUAUAAAUUCCCUUCAGAGGGAAGAGGAAAGAGGAAGCCUGAGCCAGGAACUCAUCUUCCAGGAACUGCAUCUUGAAGGCUUAUUACCUUCAAGUGACGGCCAUACUGAUAUGAAAAUUAUGGACCAUGGCAAGACUAGAAAACUCACCAAGGGCAUGAAACAUCAGAGUGAACUCUCAGAGUAGAUUGUCCAAGAAAAUAGAUGGUUGCAGUAAGCUUUAGGUAUUCUCCAACCUGAAAUCUUAUGACUGGAGCAUAUUUGCAUUACUUUCUUUGUCUUGAUACUACAAGUUUCCUAGAAUUUGCUGUGACUCAUGUAUUUGAACAGUUUUCCUUUGGUUUACACAAUUUCAAGUUUAAACACCCAUUGAUGUUAUUACAUACAAUACACUUUCAGUCAGCACUUUAGAAUUGUAAUCUUCAUUUAUGCACAUAAUUUGUUUCUUCAGUUACAAACAUGUGGUGCAAUUAUGUUGGUUUUUAUCAUUGACUUGGGAAUUAGGGUUUGUAUUUAUGUGAUUAAAGUAUUCAGUUUUUGAGUAAGUUCUGUAACUUAAAUAUUUGCUGUGCACCAGUCAUAGUUUAAAUGGAAAAUCAACUUUAAAAGGUAAAAUUUGGUGCCAUCCAGUGUCAUCAUUGUGAAUUGCAGCAUAAGCACAAUUGUGAGGAAAAUAAUUUCAAAUGGAAACUAACUACAAUUUGCAGAAAUACCAAUAAUGAUUUUAAAAUAGUAUAAAUUUGAAAUUAAAUUUAACUGCAACAUGAGAUAAUAUAGAAAAAACCAUGGAAUUAAGAGAAUUGAAACAUGUUCUGGAAUUGCUUUAUUUAUAAAAUGGGAAUAUGUUACCUACAUGGUAGACAAGAGCUAGAAAAAUUUUUUUUAUAAGGUCUAAAUACCAAACACAUACUGUACUUGACAUCUACUACAUUAGACAUAUAUUAUCUUUAUAUUACACUAUGUUAAAUAAAAUCUUUAUAUAUUGCAAAGAAAUUAAUAUUUGGUUCAACUUAUAGGGCAUUACACAAGUCUGAACUUUUGAAAGUCAUUCACAGGACAAAAUAUGGGGCACAUUUCUGUAGAUGCUAAAAUUAAGAAGGAAAAUUUCUACUAAGUAUAGAUUUUUGGUCUUCUCACAGAAGUUUUCGG